GCAGGCUGCAACUCGCCUGCAUGAAGUCGGAAUUGCUAGUAAUCGCAGAUCAGCAUGCUGUGGUGAAUACGUUCCCGGGCCUUGUACACACCGCCCGUCACACCAUGGGAGUCGGUAACACCCAAAGUUGGUAGUCUAACCGCAAGGAGGACGCCGCCUAAGGUGGGAUUGAUGACUGGGGUGAAGUCGUAACAAGGUACC
This 201-nucleotide ribosomal RNA is filed under the name uncultured bacterium. RNAcentral's name for it is "partial 16S ribosomal RNA". It matches the Rfam family "Bacterial small subunit ribosomal RNA", at positions 1300 to 1500 of the family's 1533-position model. The record is from RNAcentral.